AGCGUCCCAAGCAGGGACGAUAGCCGGAACGCGCCCGGAAUCGGGUCCGCCAGGUGGGGAGCGGGUCCCCGGCCUCUGGCGGGGUUUCUCUUCCAAGAUCAGCCGGAGGGUUCAGGGCUUUCAGUUUCAUAUUUCAGGAGGGAUUUUGUCAAUGAGGAUUAAUACAAAGCUCGGCUUUGAGAGAGGUUUGAGUUUCCUGCCUGAUGAUCAGAGCCAGAAGCACAGGUCUCCAGGAAAUGCCACCACUGGAUAGAGAGCCACACGCUGCUUCCUAUCAUACGUCUACCUGGACCUAACUCAGGAAGAAACAUACACUUCCUACAUUUUAUCCCAUAAGCAAAGCAACUUCUGUAGAACUGCCCAUGGAGAUUUUGUCUUAACUUCAAAAAGUGCUUCUCCUAAUUUAUUUUCUGUUGCACGGUAUCAAGAAGCACCUGUGGAAAAAAAGGAUUCAAAAGAAGAAAACCAUAACCAUCUUACAAGUUUUUGCAUUGCUGAAGACUGACGACUUCACCCAGACCCACCAACUGGUCCUGGGACCCCCACCCAGGAACCCAUUCAGUGCAGGAGGACAGCUUCAGCUCCCUGUGUCUUCACGUGUGACCCAAUUGAUCAGCACUUCCCUCUUCCUGGCCCCCUACUGACCAAACUAUCCUUUAAAAACCCUAGUCACUGAGUUUCCAGGGAGACUAAUUUGACUAAUAAUAAAACUGGUCUCCCAUUCAGCCAGCUCUGCAUGAAUUAAACUUUCUCUAUUGCAUUCCCCUGUCUUAACAAAUCAGCUGUACCUGGGCACUGGGCAAAAUGAACCCAUUGGAUGGCUACAUAUGUCCAGGUUAAUCCCGUCAUCACUGGGGGACUUGUGUAGGGGAUUUUGGCUCUGGAAAGGAUGGAUUAGAGAUCUGUGUUCUCCAGACUGAAGUGUGCAGAUUAUUGCCAAGAAAAACCUCUGAGAAGCACAAGCUCAGGCCUUGGGGACUUCACGCAUGUUGGUUGCCUGCUGAAUAGGAGGCUCCUGUGUCCACCCUCACAGCUUGGUCCUCACUUAUAUGAGCCCAACUGGGAAUGCUCUCUGUGAUUCAGGUCCACUUACUUCUAGAAUGCUCAGGUAGGAAGUAAUCAUUAGAAGCAGAUGAAGUAUGUUACCCCAGGAGCAUAGUAGAUUAGCCAUUGACUUGUUUUCCCCCUGUUGGAUCUUAAUCUUCCAUGCAAAUUAAUCACCAAGGGCUCAAAAACAGCCCUUGGAUUAACAUGCUCUGUUCACAGUCCUGGCAUGUUGGGACCCAAGCCCAGUCCCUCAUGGGGAGGGACUUCACUUUCUUUUGCUCCUCCCCAGUAGCCCUCCUAUUGGUUUGGAUACAGCUACCCUGGGUUUGGCUCCUGCCUUUUCCUUCACAGUUGCUACCCAGGAACAGGGAAAAAAGGGGUCUGCUAUUGAUGAUGUUGGUAACCCCCACUGGGUGAACCUCACUGGGUGAACAGGUCAGCCACACACGCUACAAAAAAGAAGGGCAUCUGCCUCAACAGUAGAGUGAAGAAAGGCAGAAGUCUGCUCCUUAUGAGCUAGCCUCCAGGGCAUACAAAGACAUUCUUACACAUUCAUUCCUUUUUGUAUUCACUUUUUGAACAUUUAUUGGGCAUCUGUAGUAUGCUGGGACAUUCAUUGGUUCUGAAGACAUGGAGAUAAACAUUGGGGUACUCUGAUCCAUAAAACAAAUACUUCUAAACCUGCAAAAAACUUAGCCACACACUAAUAGUGGGGAACUUCAACAUCCUACUGACAGCUUUAAAUGGAUGAUUGUGGUGAAAACUAACAAAGAAAUUCUGGACUUAAACUUGACACUUGACGAAUUUGACCUAAUAGUCUUAUUGUUUUAUCCAAAUUACCACUGUGUCCCUUUUAAGUAGGGCAUUUAGACCAAUUACAUUGAAGGUUAAUAUUGAUAUGUGGGAUGUUUAUCCUGUCAUUGUUUUGUAGACUCAAUUGUGCAGUUGCUUGAUAGAGUCAUUGGACGAUGUACUUAAGUGUGUUUUUAUGUUAGUAGUACUCUAUCUAACAAACACAGAAUAUACAUUCUUCUCAUCUGCAUAUAGAACAUAUUAUAAGAUUGACCACAUGCUUGUCCAUAAAGCAACUCUUAAUAAAUUUAAAAAAUAGAAAUUAGACUAUACUCUCAGACCACAGGGCAAUAAAUUCAACACCAAGAAUAUCUCUCAAAACCACACAAUUAUAUGAAAAUUAAACAACUUGCUCCUGAAUGACUUUUGGGUAAACAAUAAAAUUAGAGCAGAAAUAAAAAAUUCUUUCAAAUUAAUGAAAACAGGACAGAACAUGCCAAAAUAUCUGGGAUACAGCAAAAGCAGUAUCAAGAGGAAAGUUUAUAGUGCUAAAUGCCUACACCAAGGGGAUAGAAAAAAAUCACAAAUUAAUAGACUAACAUUGCACCAAAGGAACUAGAUAGACAAGAACAAAUUAACCCCAAAGCUAGUAGAAGAAAAUAAAUAAAAUCAGAGCACAACUGAAUGAAAUUGAGAUGCAAACAUUUGUACAAAAGAUCAACAAAACCCAAAGUUUGUUCACAGAAAAUACAAACAGAAUUGAUAGUCUGCUAGCUAUAUUAACAAAGUAACAAAAGGGAAAACCAAAAGAAGCACAAUCAGAAAUGACAAAGAUGACAUUACUACUGAUUCCACAGAAAUAUAAAGAUCUUCAGACUAUUAUUAACACCUUUAUGCACACAAACUAGGAAUUCUAGAGGAAACUGAUAAAUUCCUGGAAACACAAACCUCCCAAGAAUGAAUCAGGAAGAAACUGAAACCUGAACUGACCAAUCUUGAGUUGCAAAAUUGAAGCAGGAAUAAAAACCAACUAAGCAAAAAAAGUCCAGGAUUAGAUAGAUUUACAGCUGAAUUCUACCAGAUGUACACAGAACAGCUGAUACCAAUUCUACUGAUACUAUUCCAAAAAAUAGAGAAACUCCUCCUUAACUCAUCUAUGAAGUCAGCAUCAUCCUGAUAUCAAAACCUAGCAAAGACACAACAAAAAAAGAAAACUACAGGCCAAUAUCCCUGAUGAACUUAUACACAAAGAUUCUCAACAAAAUAUUAAUACUAGUGAACUUAAUCUAGCAGCACAUCCAAAAGUUAAUUCACCAUAAAAAUGUAGGUUUGAUUCCUGGAAUCAAGUUUGUUUCAACAUAUGCAAAUCAAUAAAUGUGAUUUACCACAUAAACAUUAAAAACAACACCUAUAGGAUCAUCUCAAUGGAUGUAGAAAAAGCUUUUGAUAAAAUUCAACUUCCCUUCAUGUUAAAAACCCUCAACAAAGUAGGCAUCAAAGAAACAUACCUCAAAAUAAUAAGGGCCAUCUGUGACAAACCCACAGCCAACAUUAUAUGGAAUGGGCAAAAGCUGGAAGCAGUCCCCUUGAGAACUACAACAAAAUAGGAUUCCUAUUCUCACCAUUCCUAUUCAGUGUCAUACUAGAAGUCCUAGCCAGGGCAAUCAGGCAAGAGAAAGAAAUAUAAGGCAUCCAAGUAGAAAAAGAAGAAGUCAAACUAUUUCUCUUUAUUGAUGAUAUAAUUCUAUACCUAAAACCCUAAAGACCUCACCAAAAGGCUUCUAGAAGUGAUACACAACUUCAUUAAAUUUCACAAUAGAAAAUCAAUGAAAAUCAGUAGCAUUUCUAUACAUCAGUAAUGUAUGACCUGAGAGCCCAAUCAGGAACACAAUCUCCUUUACAAUAGCCACAAAAGAAGUAAUGUCUAGGAAUACAUCUAACCAAGGAGGUGAAAGAUCUCUAGAAGGAGAACUACAAAACACUGCUGAAAGAAAUCAUAGAUGACAAACAAAUAAAAAAUUCCAUGCCCAUGGAUUGGAAGAAUUAAAAUUGUUAAAAUGGCCAUACUGCCAAAGCAACUUACAAAUUCUGUUCUAUCAAACUACCAAUGCUAUUUUUCACAGAAUUAGAAAAGACUUUUCUAAAAUUCAUAUGGAACCAAAAAAGAGCCCAAAGAUCCAAAACAAACGUAAGUAAAAGGAGCCAAACUAGAGGCAUCACAUUACCCAACUUCAAACUAUACUGUAAGGCUACAGUAACCAAAAUAACAUGCUACUGUUACAAAAACAGACACAUAGACCAAUGGAACAGAACAGAGAACCCAGGAAUAAAGCCCCACACUUUCGAUCAUCUAAUCUUCAACAAAGUGGACAAAAACAAGCAAUAGGGGAAGGACAUCCUAUUCAAUAAAUGGUGCUGGGAUAGCUGGCUAGCCAUACACAGAAGAAAGAAACUGGACCCUACCUUUUACCAUUUGUACAACAAUUAACUGAAGAUGAAUUAAAGGUUUAAAUGUGAGACCUCAAACUAACAGAAUGCUAGAAGAAAACUUAGGAAACACUAUUCUGGACAUCAGCCUUGGGAAAGCUAAGGUUAAGUCCUCAAAAGGAAUUGCAAUAAAAAUAAAAAUUGAUAAGUAGAUCUAAUUAAACUAAAGAGCUUCUGCAUAGCAAUAGAAACUUUCAGCAGAGUAAAUGUACAGAAUGGGAAAAAUAUUCACAAACUAUGCAUCCAACAAAGGUCACAUAUCCAGAAUCUGUAAAGAAUUUAAGUAACUGAACAAGCAAAAAACAAAUAACCUCAUUCAAAAAUAGUCAGAAUACAUGAACAGAUACUUCUGAAAAUAAUACAUACAAGUGGCAUAGAAACAUAUGAAAAAAUGCUCAUCGUCACUGAUCAUCAGAGAAAUGUAAAUUAGAAGCACAAUGAGAUACAAUCUCACACCAGUCAGAAUCACUAUUACAAAAAAGUAAAAACAUAACAGAUGUUGGUGAGGUUGUGGAGAAAAAGGAACAACUUAUACGCUGUUGGUGGGAAUGUAAAUUAGUUUAACUACUCAACUACUGUGGAUAUCAGUUUGCAGAUUUCUCAAAGAACUGAGAACUACCAGUCAAUCUGGCAACCCCAUUACUAAGUAUAUAUCCAAAAGAAAACCAAUUAUUCUACCAAAAAGUCAUACAUGCACUCACAUGUUCAUCACAAUACUACUCACAAUAGCAAUGACAUGGAAUCAACCUAGGUGCCCAUCAACAGCGAAUUGGAUAAAGAAAAUGUGGUACGUAUACUUCAUGGAAUACUACACAGCCAUAAAAAGAACAAAAUUAUGUUCUUUGCAGCAACAUGGAUGCAGCUGGAGGCCAUUAUCCUAAGCAAAUUAACACAGGAACAGAAAACCAAAUACCGCAUAUUCUCACUUGUACGUGGGAGCUAAACAUCAGGUAUUCAUGGUCACAAAGAUGGAAACAAAAGACAUUGUGGGCUACUAGUGGGGAAAGGGAGGGUGGUGGUGAGGGUUGAAAUUCUAACUGUUGGGUAGUAUGGUUGGUAUUUGGGUGGUGGGUGUAUUCAUACCACAAACCUUAGCAUCAUGUCAUUUACCCAAGUAAAAACUUGCACAUGUACCCUCUGAAUCUAAAAUAAAAGUUGAAAAAUAAAGAGCAAAUAAAACUGGGCCAGGGCAGCAAUUCAAAGCAUGAUAGAUAGAUAGAUAGAUAGAUAAAUAGAUUAAAAUAAAUCUAAACUACAAACUUGUCUUUUCACUAUCUUGAUAAUGUUCUUUUAUGGAUUCUAGUUUUUAAUUUUGAUGAAGUCCAAUUUAUGUAUUUUUCCUCUUGUUUCUCAUGCUUUCAGUGCUAUAUCUAGGACUCCAUUGUCAAAUCAAAGGUCAUGGAGAUUUAUUUCUAUGUUUUCUUUUAAGAGUUUUAACAUUUAUGUUAAGGUUUUUAAUUCAUUUUGAGUUAAUUGUUGUAUAUACUGCCAUGUAAGAACAUCACCUCACUCCUUUGCAUGUGGCUAUCAUUAUCCCAGCACCAUUUGUUAAAAAGAGCGUUUUUUCUCCAUUGAAUUUUCCUGGCAAUGCUGUGAAAAGUCAAUUACCCAUAGAUGCUUAAAUUAAUUUCUGGACUCUCCAUUCUCUUCCGUUAGUCUAUGUGUAAAGUUACAGAUCUACCCUUGACCCGGAAUGCCUAUCAGAAGCUGAUCAAGUGCACACGUUCUGUUCUUAUGAUAAUUACAACUGGGACUGGACUCUAUAAUAUUUGACUGUAUAGUGUCUUCCAAAAUUCUUUCUUAUAAUGUUUCACCUUGUUAAUAAACUCCUGAGCCUAAGAAUGGAAAGAAACAUGUUUUAUACUCACAGUUUCUUAAUUUCGAAAACUAUCCUGCAUGGACUGAUCACUCAAUUUAGGAAGCUGGCGUAAGGAGCAUUUAUUAGCAUUCUGAACAGGGACCUCUGAUCUAAGACUCUAAGUACUACAGUCAUUUAGUAGUGAAAUUCCAUUCUGUGAUUGGUUCUUAGAGAACUAGUUUUACAAAAGCCCAAAGAUACAAGAAAGUUCACAGAAAACUGUUUGUAAUACUUAGAAAUUGGAACCAAUAAAAAAAGGUAAUCAGUUGGGGAUAGAUCAUUAUAAAGCCUCCAUAUGAAUGAAUUAUUCAUGAUUAUUUAAAAUUGAAAUAUGUCUGCAGUUACAGAAUAAGUUGCAUAGUAUGAUCCGAUAUGUAUAUAAACAACAUCAUAUAUGUAUGUGUGUGUGUAUAUAUAUAUGUAUAUGGGUGUAUGUGUAUAUAUUUCACCUUGUAAUAUUUUACCUUGUUAAUAAAACCCUGGACCAAAAAAUGUAAGUUAAAGGAUUGUGUGUGUGUGUGUGUGUGUGUGUGUGUGUGUGUGUGUGCGGCGCACGCAUGCGUGUGUGCUCAUAACCAAAUUUCUGCAGGAAUAAAGGGAACGUUUCUAUAUGAUGACUUUGCCUUUUUUAAAAAAAAAACAAAAAGCACAUAUAUUUAAAUUGUUUAAGGGGAGGUCCAUGCUCUGACCUUUAAACUAAAUUGCCUUAAAACCUCCUGAAGAAUUUUCUGUGUUGUCUGAGAACAGAGCUACAAAGAGCCAUAACACUUUCCAAAGUUAGAGACAAAAUAUUCCUUUUAAGCUUGAGGGGCAAGCCCCUGGGCUCCUAAGCAGGCUGCCUGUGACCCUGGAUAUGAAUUUCAGGCCAGCUCCUUCUGCCUUUUGGGGUCUGGUCAGCCUACCUGGAUUUUAUGUUCUUCAGAAAAUCUUUGACCUUUUCCAGGGAAAACUUCACUAUAUCACUAUUUGCAGGUAAAACUUUGCUUAUAUUUUAGAACCUCUAGAAAGAAUGCAACUCUGUAUAUACUUUGAUGUUAUUUUAUUAAAGUCAAUUUCAGAAUUCUGACCUCCAGAACUCCAAGAGAAUCCACAUUUCCUCAUGGAUUUGCUACUCAGUUUGUCCAAGAACUUAUUGAGGUGCACCUCCUGGACCUGGCAGUCACUCCCAAAACAAGAGGAAGCAGCCAUGAACCACCAGAGCUCAGAGAACUUGAGUGACAUACACAGAUUCUCCUACUGGAACUGAGGUCCAGAUGCCCAGGCAGGCCCAGAACUCAUUUUUCUACAGAUGAGGGCAUCAAAUCUGCAGUGCGCUCACGCUGUCUGCUCCAGACCUUCAGGCUCUUCUGUCUGGAAUGUUCCUCCCUGCUCACUUUGCACACCCAGGACCCAGCUCAGAUGGGACUCCUCAGGGACACCUACCCACCUGGCCAGUCACACCUUCCUGUGGCACCUGCUCCUUGCUGUCUCCUCACCAAUCAUACUCAAAGCAGAUGCUAUGGAUUGUGUUUAUUUACCAGCUACAGGAGCAUUAACAUUUUAUAAUUAAUAUUUAAUCAAGUUUAGUAAGCUGUAUUUUUGAGGAUAUAUGCAGAUAGUUUAAAAUUUCAAAUAAAGUGUUACAAAGUUGCUUACUGGCAUAAGCUCCAGCAAUUUAAUAUGUUCAUCCUUUUAUUUCUAAUAUUGUCUAUUUUCCUGAUAAAUCUUGACAGAUGAUUAACCAUUUUUAUUAGUGUACUUAAAGAAAUGUUGAUCUUUAUUGAACUUUGCUGGAUUUCUGUUACAAUUUUUUUAUCCAUGAUUUUUUACUAGAAAUUCAUAUCUACUAAUGUGUUUGGAUUUAUUCUGAAGACUUUUUCUAAUAUUUCUCAGAUUAGAAACUCAAUUCACUAAUUUACAGUCUUUCUUACCUUCUAAUAUAUCAUUUAUAAGUCUAAUAUUUCCUUAAAUACUGCUUGUGGUAGGCAGAAUAACAGCAUCCAAAAUAUGUCCAUAUAGUAAUAGAUACUGAUGCAAUGUAAUCACAAUGGGCUAAAAGUGGAAGACAGAAGCAGAGAUUCAGAGAGAUUUGAAGAUGCAAUAUUGCUGGCUUUGAAGAUGAAGGAGAGGACACAAGCCAAGGAAUGCCGGUGGCCUCUAGAAACUGGAGCAGUCAAGGAAAAGAAUGAUCUUUUAGAACAUCUACAAAGAAUGCCACUCUGUAGAUACCUUGAUUUUAU
RNAcentral lists this long non-coding RNA (8403 nucleotides) under Homo sapiens (human). Its description in RNAcentral is "non-protein coding lnc-ATP12A-4:2". The record is from RNAcentral. Lineage: Eukaryota; Metazoa; Chordata; Mammalia; Primates; Hominidae.